CUACGAAGACUGCUGUCUGAAAUAUAUUAAGUACAAGAAACAGGCCUUUUUACGACAUAUCAAGACAUACAUUAUUCAAGAGGUGAAUGGGAGCUGCAAUCGGCCUGCUAUCAUCUUUGUUUUGCCAAGGAAUAAAUUCAUCUGUGGCAACCCCAAUGACAAAUGGGUUAAGGAUAAAAUGAGAGAUCUGGACAGACAGAGGAAAACCAUCAAGAACUCCUGGAAGCCCAGAGAGAAAAUCAAGGACUGCAGAGGAAACAAUACCAACAUAACCAGGCCACUUGUCCAAGAUGUCCACGCUCAUCGAAUCCAUGGCAUCGCCAGAAACCAGACCAGACUGAAGCAUGGCUGAAGAUAAUAAUCCAAGAAGUGUCCCCCUACUUAGAAACCUUCCACAGGCCCCUAGUGCUUCAAGGAUGAACCAGGCAUUUAAAGCCUUCUACAAUCUAGCUCCUACUUGCCUUUCUGGAUGUUUCAUAUAACUUCCCUUCAAAGUAUCUAGUGAAACUGGCACAUUUAUGCUUUCAUGAACUCAGCAUGCCAUUCCCCCAUCUCCAUGUUUUUGUUUAUACAGGUCACCUUCCUUGCAUGAAACAUAUACCUCCCGAAGUGCCUUUUGGUUUUACUAGCCUCUUUCCAGUCAGCUCAUGAGCCUUGCACUCAACGCUUAUCCCUAUCCCACCCUGAGUACACACUGUAUCUCUGCACCAUAUAGUAUGUAAGCCCUUUGAAGAUGGGCACUAUUAUGUUUUUGCCUUCGGUAGCCCCAGUGCCCACAGAAAGAAUUCAACAAAUUCUUACUAACUUGGAAUCAAUAAAGGCCAAGCCAAUGUUGCUGCUGGAACAAUUCUCCAAAUCCCAACAUCUGCCGUGGGGCCAGUGUCUCUGGUUUCUUUUCUCCUUCCCUUGAUACUUACUAGGUCCUACCUUGAGGCAUGUCUACCUGUCAUCUCCUCUAGGCACCACGUUAGUCCUACCAUUUAUGCCCACACAAAUGGGUUACUGCUAUUGGUUCUCUGCUGGCAGGAUUUGAACCUUGGUCUUCCUAAGUCCAAGUUCAGCAUUCUGUCUACUAUACCACACUAUUUCUGCAGGAACUCAGAGUUGCCUCUG
This is an RNA transcript of Monodelphis domestica (gray short-tailed opossum), 1113 nucleotides long. RefSeq lists it as uncharacterized. NCBI's taxonomy places the organism in Eukaryota, Metazoa, Chordata, Mammalia, Didelphimorphia, Didelphidae. The record is from RefSeq and is a predicted model, not a curated record.